GACGAACGCUGGCGGCGUGCUUAACACAUGCAAGUCGAACGGAAAGGCCCUGCUUGCAGGGUACUCGAGUGGCGAACGGGUGAGUAACACGUGGGUGAUCUGCCCUGCACUUCGGGAUAAGCCUGGGAAACUGGGUCUAAUACCGGAUAGGAGCCAUUUUUAGUGUGAUGGUUGGAAAGUUUUUUCGGUGUAGGAUGAGCUCGCGGCCUAUCAGCUUGUUGGUGGGGUAAUGGCCUACCAAGGCGGCGACGGGUAGCCGGCCUGAGAGGGUGGACGGCCACAUUGGGACUGAGAUACGGCCCAGACUCCUACGGGAGGCAGCAGGGGGGAAUAUUGCACAAUGGGCGCAAGCCUGAUGCAGCGACGCCGCGUGGGGGAUGACGGCCUUCGGGUUGUAAACUCCUUUCGCUAGGGACGAAGCUUUUUGUGACGGUACCUAGAUAAGAAACACCGGCUAACUACGUG
This 465-nucleotide ribosomal RNA is filed under the name uncultured bacterium. RNAcentral's name for it is "partial 16S ribosomal RNA". It matches the Rfam family "Bacterial small subunit ribosomal RNA", at positions 28 to 507 of the family's 1533-position model. The record is from RNAcentral.